GUGGAUUAGAUACCCUGGUAGUCCACACAGUAAACGAUGGAUACUCGCUGCCGGCGAUAGACAGUCGGUGGCUUAGCGAAAGCGUUAAGUAUCCCACCUGGGGAGUACGCCGGCAACGGUGAAACUCAAAGGAAUUGACGGGGGCCCGCACAAGCGGAGGAACAUGUGGUUUAAUUCGAUGAUACGCGAGGAACCUUACCCAGGCUCGAACGGCAAGUCGACAGGAUAGAGAGACCUAUCCCUUCUUCGGACGACUUGUUGAGGUGCUGCAUGGUCGUCGCCAACU
This 286-nucleotide ribosomal RNA is filed under the name uncultured bacterium. RNAcentral describes it as "partial 16S ribosomal RNA". It matches the Rfam family "Bacterial small subunit ribosomal RNA", at positions 773 to 1060 of the family's 1533-position model. The record is from RNAcentral.